Molecule: ribosomal RNA, 474 nt
Filed under: uncultured Smithella sp.
Lineage: Bacteria; Pseudomonadati; Thermodesulfobacteriota; Syntrophia; Syntrophales; Smithellaceae
Description: bacterial SSU rRNA
Rfam family: Bacterial small subunit ribosomal RNA
Source: RNAcentral
AAAUUGACGGGGGCCCGCACAAGCGGUGGAGCAUGUGGUUUAAUUCGAUGCAACGCGAAGAACCUUACCUGGGCUUGACAUCCCGAGAAUCCCCUGGAAACAGGGAGUGCCUUUCGGGGAACUCGGAGACAGGUGCUGCAUGGCUGUCGUCAGCUCGUGUCGUGAGAUGUUGGGUUAAGUCCCGCAACGAGCGCAACCCUUGUCUUUAAUUGCCAGCAUUCAGUUGGGCACUUUAAAGAGACUGCCGGUGUUAAGCCGGAGGAAGGUGGGAUGACGUCAAGUCCUCAUGGCCUUUAUGCCCAGGGCUACACACGUGCUACAAUGGGUGGUACAAAGAGAUGCCAACUCGCGAGAGCGCGCCAAUCUCAGAAAGCCAUCCUCAGUUCGGAUUGGAGUCUGCAACUCGACUCCAUGAAGUUGGAAUCGCUAGUAAUCGCGGAUCAGCACGCCGCGGUGAAUACGUUCCCGGGCCUU